This 446-nucleotide ribosomal RNA is filed under the name uncultured bacterium. RNAcentral describes it as "partial 16S ribosomal RNA". It matches the Rfam family "Bacterial small subunit ribosomal RNA", at positions 338 to 795 of the family's 1533-position model. The record is from RNAcentral.
CCUACGGGAGGCAGCAGUCGAGAAUCAUUCACAAUUGGGGAAACCCUGAUGGUGCGACGCCGCGUGGGGGAAUGAAGGUCUUCGGAUUGUAAACCCCUGUCAUGUGGGAGCAAAUUAAAAAGAUAGUACCACAAGAGGAAGAGACGGCUAACUCUGUGCCAGCAGCCGCGGUAAUACCGAGGUCCCAAGCGUUGUUCGGAAUCACUGGGCGUAAAGGGUGCGUAGGCUGUUUCGUAAGUCGUGUGUGAAAUGCGCGGGCUCAACCCGCGGACGGCACAUGAUACUGCGAGACUAGAGUAAUGGAGGGGGAACCGGAAUUCUCGGUGUAGCAGUGAAAUGCGUAGAUAUCGAGAGGAACACUCGUGGCGAAGGCGGGUUCCUGGACAUUAACUGACGCUGAGGCACGAAGGCGAGGGGAGCGAAAGGGAUUAGAUACCCUGGUAGUC